Molecule: ribosomal RNA, 358 nt
Filed under: uncultured bacterium
Lineage: Bacteria
Description: bacterial SSU rRNA
Rfam family: Bacterial small subunit ribosomal RNA
Source: RNAcentral
GUGAGUAGUCAGAGUUUGAUCCUGGCUCAGGACGAACGCUGGCGGCGUGCCUAACACAUGCAAGUCGAACGGAGUUUGUUGGUUAGAUCCCUUCGGGGUGACGACCUUUAAACUUAGUGGCGGACGGGGUGAGUAACGCGUGAGCAACCUGCCCUUCAUGGGGGACAACAGUUGGAAACGACUGCUAAUACCGCAUGACGUACGGUUUAGACAUCUUUACCGUACCAAAGGAUUUAUUCGCUGAAGGGAUGGGCUCGCGUCCGAUUAGAUAGUUGGUGAGGUAACGGCUCACCAAGUCGACGAUCGGUAGCCGGACUGAGAGGUUGAUCGGCCACAUUGGGACUGAGACACGGCCCAG